RNAcentral lists this transfer RNA (66 nucleotides) under marine eukaryotic metagenome. It matches the Rfam family "tRNA", at positions 5 to 66 of the family's 71-position model. Rfam says of the family: Transfer RNA (tRNA) molecules are approximately 80 nucleotides in length. Their secondary structure includes four short double-helical elements and three loops (D, anti-codon, and T loops). The record is from RNAcentral.
CCGUAGCUCAGCUGGUAGAGCAGUUGACUCUUAAUCAAUUGGUCGCAGGUUCGAGUCCUGCCGGGC